This 471-nucleotide unclassified non-coding RNA is filed under the name Pectobacterium carotovorum. RNAcentral describes it as "partial contains 16S-23S ribosomal RNA intergenic spacer and 23S ribosomal RNA". The stretch from base 241 to 383 matches the Rfam family "Salmonella enterica Typhi npcRNA 44". The record is from RNAcentral. Lineage: Bacteria; Pseudomonadati; Pseudomonadota; Gammaproteobacteria; Enterobacterales; Pectobacteriaceae.
GUGCUCACACAGAUUGUCUGAUGAAAAUAAUGAGCAAAAGCGUCAACAAAGUACGGUGUCGUGUCCCCUUCGUCUAGAGGCCUAGGACACCGCCCUUUCACGGCGGUAACAGGGGUUCGAAUCCCCUAGGGGACGCCAGCGCAUCCGACCAUUCCGGUGAAAGCGGGGGUCUUCAGUAAGUCAACGACUUACCUCAUAUCUUAAAACUGAUUAGUGAUAGUCAGGGUUUAAGAUAUUGCUCUUUAACAAUCUGGAACAAGCUGAAAAUUGAAACAUGACAGCUGAACGAGCGUGGUGCCUGCGGGUAUUCAUGACGAGUCAGUCUGUCAAUGAGUCUCUCAAAUAAUCGCAGCGCGAUGAUGAAUCAAUCGAAACAUCUUCGGGUUGUGAGGUUAAGCGACUAAGCGUACACGGUGGAUGCCUAGGCAGUCAGAGGCGAUGAAGGGCGUGCUAAUCUGCGAUAAGCGUCGG